AAAAAAAUUAUGUUUUUAAACUAUUAACCCUAUUUCACAGUGAAGCUUGAAAGUGGAGGGAGCCUCGGUGGAUUGGUGUUUCGCCGGACAGGAUUCAAGAAUUUGAUGGAAAAUUUCACUGCAGGUUUUGAUAUCGUGACCGGAAAAGUGCAGUCAGAGCAAACACUCUAUUUAAGGAAAUAGCUAUAUGCAAUGUAAGGUCCCUUUUCUUGCAAAUAUUCUCCAGCUGAGGUCCUCAGUGCUCAUUGGAAGAAUGACUGAAGUUUCACUUUAUCAUUUGCCAAUUGUACUAUUCCCGAAGGUUACUGAUAUUUUGAAAGGGUUUCAAAACAGUGCAAGUAUCCUGAACCAAUGAAUUCUGGAAUAAUGGAGCACAGUUUCAUUUUUAAUGAGGCACGACGUUAUUGGAAAUAUGUUGGAUGCUGUGACAAAGUGGUUAAUUUCCUCCUUAUCCAUGGCAGAAGAGAGUUUUUCCACCUGACUCGAACUGGCUGGCUUGUACUGGGUCUUGUGGGUUGAAGGAAGAUCUCCAAUUAUUUAGGAGACCAGUCCUGUUUACGAUCGCAAACCCUUCAAUAUAAUCAAAUGUGUUUUCUGCUGAUAUCAAACGCUCCUGGUCCCUGGCAAAUGUAUUGAAAUCAGAGUGCUGGUUCCAGUGAUAUUCUGGCCCGUGUGAUGAUGCCAAACUGACCUAGUCCUCCAAGGACACUGUGAAAGAGGUCGCUAUUCUGCUUCUUUGUACAGUUCACGAUCUCCCCUUUUCCUGCACUCAGUUUGAGUCCAAUUUUUACUGAUGGACAUUACUUAUCUGGGGGCCAUGUCGAAAAGCCUGCCCGCUGAUCCCAGCAUUGGACAAAGUACCACCAACAGUUAAAUGCAGGUAGUCUGUCCAAGAUUUUGGCGCU
Pistacia vera is the source of this 905-nucleotide long non-coding RNA. RefSeq lists it as uncharacterized. The record is from RefSeq and is a predicted model, not a curated record. The transcript is spliced from 7 exons. Lineage: Eukaryota; Viridiplantae; Streptophyta; Magnoliopsida; Sapindales; Anacardiaceae.